AAACUAACAAGGAUUCCCCUAGUAACUGCGAGUGAAGCGGGAAAAGCUCAAAUUUAAAAUCUGGUGGUCUUUGGCCAUCCGAGUUGUAAUCUAGAGAAGUGUUAUCCGCGCUGGACCGUGUACAAGUCUCCUGGAAUGGAGCGUCAUAGAGGGUGAGAAUCCCGUCUUUGACACGGACUACCAGGGCUUUGUGAUGCGCUCUCAAAGAGUCGAGUUGUUUGGGAAUGCAGCUCAAAAUGGGUGGUAAAUUCCAUCUAAAGCUAAAUAUUGGCGAGAGACCGAUAGCGAACAAGUACCGUGAGGGAAAGAUGAAAAGAACUUUGGAAAGAGAGUUAAACAGUACGUGAAAUUGCUGAAAGGGAAACGCUUGAAGUCAGUCGCGUUGUCCGGAAAUCAACCUUGCUUUUGCUGGGCGUACUUUCCGGUUGACGGGUCAGCAUCAAUUUUGACCGUUGGAUAAAGUUCAGGGGAAUGUGGCAUCUUCGGAUGUGUUAUAGCCUUUGUUCGCAUACAACGGUUGGGAUUGAGGAACUCAGCACGCCGCAAGGCCGGGUAUUUAUACUACGUUCGUGCUUAGGAUGCUGGCAUAAUGGCUUUAAUCGACCCGUCUUGAAACACGGACCAAGGAGUCUAACAUGCCUGCGAGUGUUUGGGUGGAAAACCCGAGCGCGUAAUGAAAGUGAAAGUUGAGAUCCCUGUCGUGGGGAGCAUCGACGCCCGGACCAGACCUUUUGUGACGGAUCCGCGGUAGAGCAUGUAUGUUGGGACCCGAAAGAUGGUGAACUAUGCCUGAAUAGGGUGAAGCCAGAGGAAACUCUGGUGGAGGCUCGUAGCGAUUCUGACGUGCAAAUCGAUCGUCAAAUUUGGGUAUAGGGGCGAAAGACUAAUCGAACCAUCU
RNAcentral lists this ribosomal RNA (898 nucleotides) under Galerina marginata. RNAcentral describes it as "LSU rRNA". It matches the Rfam family "Eukaryotic large subunit ribosomal RNA", at positions 62 to 945 of the family's 3401-position model. The record is from RNAcentral. Lineage: Eukaryota; Fungi; Basidiomycota; Agaricomycetes; Agaricales; Galerinaceae.